UACGAAGGGUGCUAGCGUUGUUCGGAAUCACUGGGCGUAAAGCGUGCGUAGGUGGCUUGGCAAGCCAAGGGUGAAAUCCCGGAGCUUAACUCCGGAAUUGCCUUUGGAACUGCUUGGCUAGAGGAUAUUAGAGGUAAGUGGAAUUUCUAGUGUAGGAGUGAAAUCCGUAGAUAUUAGAAGGAACAUCGACUGCGAAGGCAGCUUACUGGGAUAUUUCUGACACUGAGGCACGAAAGCGUGGGGAUCAAACAGG
This 253-nucleotide ribosomal RNA is filed under the name uncultured bacterium. Its description in RNAcentral is "partial 16S ribosomal RNA". It matches the Rfam family "Bacterial small subunit ribosomal RNA", at positions 524 to 776 of the family's 1533-position model. The record is from RNAcentral.